Long non-coding RNA from Cervus elaphus (red deer), 619 nucleotides. RefSeq lists it as uncharacterized. The record is from RefSeq and is a predicted model, not a curated record. The transcript is spliced from 3 exons. NCBI's taxonomy places the organism in Eukaryota, Metazoa, Chordata, Mammalia, Artiodactyla, Cervidae.
UCCAAGUUUCACAGGACAAAAAAAACAGCAUUAACAUGAAACCAGAGCUGCAAUUUGCUCACAGAUUGAUGGUAUCAGUUUGCAUCCAGGGGUUAAAACCAGGAACCCAGAACUGCAAUUUUUGAAGUCUCACCCAUGGAGCGGAUGCACUAGCUGGGACCUUUUCCCAAAAAGCCUAUUUGGAGUGGCUUAUUUUGUUAACAAAUCCUUUGAACCUGAGACGAAAGUGAAAACUUUUGGCAAGACACUAGUUGGUGCUGAGUAGGAUCUGUGAGACAAAACACCCCUCUUCAAGAAGAAAGAUUAAUGUUGAUGAAGCUUUUAUUCCCAGAUGGGAAGAUUCACCUUAUUGCUCGUUAGCUAAUGAAUGAGGUUUAUGGAAGGUGGACCCCAAGAAAAGAGUUUUGUGCACAGUACAAGUUUUGAGACAUUGAACUGCCUUUGAUAAUGGAUUUUAAAUUUCUUUACCUCUGAAAGUGAUCUGUUCUAUGUUUAUCUUCAAAAUCUUUUGUAACUUUGGCUAAGUAAAUAACUGUUUCACAGUGACUUAUAUGAUCCUAUCUGAGUGUUAUAAACCCUUUUGAUAGUUUUGGCAAAACUUCCUAAAAUUAAAUUCUCA